GCUCCAGUGGCGCAAUUGGUUAGCGCACGGUACUUAUAAUCAGUAUUCUGUGUGUAUAUGAGCUAUGCCGGGGUUGUGAGUUCGAGCCUCACCUGGAGCA
Molecule: transfer RNA, 100 nt
Organism: Drosophila melanogaster (fruit fly)
Lineage: Eukaryota; Metazoa; Arthropoda; Insecta; Diptera; Drosophilidae
Rfam family: tRNA
About the family: Transfer RNA (tRNA) molecules are approximately 80 nucleotides in length.
Source: Rfam